UGUUGAAGAGAUUGUUUUUGGUGAAGUUUAGAUUAAGAUAGAACCUAUGUGAAAAGAGGGCUUCAAUGCGUUUUGCGUACUUGGUAGUAUGGUGUUAGAGUUUUGGAAUUAUAAUUAAGUAGAAUAAGAGAGAGAGAGAGAUAAAAUGUUUUCUUGGAAGAGGAUGGAACUCUAAUAAUAUUGUAAUUUUGUUGUUUGGAAUGCAAGUUAUUCUAAGAGCCC
Molecule: long non-coding RNA, 222 nt
Filed under: Citrus sinensis (sweet orange)
Lineage: Eukaryota; Viridiplantae; Streptophyta; Magnoliopsida; Sapindales; Rutaceae
Description: long non-coding RNA (CSIN_LNC004529)
Source: RNAcentral